RNAcentral lists this long non-coding RNA (335 nucleotides) under Theobroma cacao (cacao). RNAcentral describes it as "long non-coding RNA (TCAC_LNC001308)". The record is from RNAcentral. Lineage: Eukaryota; Viridiplantae; Streptophyta; Magnoliopsida; Malvales; Malvaceae.
AGUAAAUUUCUUCUUGAAGAUAUCCAUUCAAGAAAAUGAUUCUAACAUCUAUUUACCAAACUUUAUCACCAUAAUGUGCUGCAAUCCGUAACAAAAUCCUUGUGGACUUUCUUCAUAAUCACUUCCAGCUUAAUGAGUAUAAACUUUUGCCACUAGCCAUACUUUAUAGGGCUCUACCUUUUCAACUGGGUCAUAAUUUUCAUUUUUAUAUCUAUUGACUUAACACCUUACAGUGUAUCCACUACGGUUUAUACCCUAUUUGAAUACAUUGAGUUUAUCUCUGAUUUUAUGACUUUUCACCAUUGAGCAACAUCUUUAUCUUUCAUAGUUUCUUU